UACGUAGGUGGCAAGCGUUAUCCGGAUUUAUUGGGCGUAAAGCGAGUGCAGGCGGUUUAUAAGGUCUGAUGUGAAAGCCCUCGGCUCAACCGAGGAAGUGCAUCGGAAACCGGUAAACUUGAGUGCAGAAGAGGAGAGUGGAACUCCAUGUGUAGCGGUGGAAUGCGUAGAUAUAUGGAAGAACACCAGUGGCGAAGGCGGCUCUCUGGUCUGUAACUGACGCUGAGGCUCGAAAGCGUGGGUAGCAAAC
Molecule: ribosomal RNA, 250 nt
Filed under: uncultured bacterium
Lineage: Bacteria
Description: partial 16S ribosomal RNA
Rfam family: Bacterial small subunit ribosomal RNA
Source: RNAcentral